GGGUCCUUAGCUCAGUGGGAGAGCGCUUCCUUGACGCGGAAGAGGCCGUGCGUUCGAUCCGCACAGGACCCACCA
Molecule: transfer RNA, 75 nt
Filed under: Bacillota bacterium
Lineage: Bacteria; Bacillati; Bacillota
Description: Firmicutes bacterium (anaerobic digester metagenome) tRNA-Val
Rfam family: tRNA
About the family: Transfer RNA (tRNA) molecules are approximately 80 nucleotides in length. Their secondary structure includes four short double-helical elements and three loops (D, anti-codon, and T loops).
Source: RNAcentral